Molecule: ribosomal RNA, 657 nt
Filed under: uncultured bacterium
Lineage: Bacteria
Description: bacterial SSU rRNA
Rfam family: Bacterial small subunit ribosomal RNA
Source: RNAcentral
GGGAUAGCAGUUGGAAACGACCGCUAAUACCGCAUAAGCCAACAGGGGCGCAUGCUCUGGUUGGAAAAGAUUAAUCGGUGUGAGAUGGACCCGCGUCUGAUUAGCCAGUUGGCAGGGUAACGGCCUACCAAAGCGACGAUCAGUAGCCGGCCUGAGAGGGUGAACGGCCACAUUGGGACUGAGACACGGCCCAAACUCCUACGGGAGGCAGCAGUGGGGAAUAUUGCACAAUGGGGGAAACCCUGAUGCAGCGACGCCGCGUGAGUGAAGAAGUAUUUCGGUAUGUAAAGCUCUAUCAGCAGGGAAGAAAAUGACGGUACCUGACUAAGAAGCCCCGGCUAACUACGUGCCAGCAGCCGCGGUAAUACGUAGGGGGCAAGCGUUAUCCGGAUUUACUGGGUGUAAAGGGAGCGUAGACGGUGAUGCAAGUCAGAAGUGAAAGCCCGGGGCUCAACUCCGGGACUGCUUUUGAAACUGUGUAACUGGAGUGCAGGAGAGGUAAGCGGAAUUCCUAGUGUAGCGGUGAAAUGCGUAGAUAUUAGGAGGAACACCAGUGGCGAAGGCGGCUUACUGGACUGUAACUGACGUUGAGGCUCGAAAGCGUGAGGAGUCAAUAGGAUUAGAUACCCUGGUAGUCCACGCCGUAAAACGAUGAAU